AACGUGAUAGCUCAGCUGGUAGAGCGUGUGAUUUUUAAUCAUAAAGAGGCUGGUUCGAACCCAGUUCACGUUA
RNAcentral lists this transfer RNA (73 nucleotides) under Vagococcus intermedius. RNAcentral's name for it is "tRNA-Lys". It matches the Rfam family "tRNA". Rfam says of the family: Transfer RNA (tRNA) molecules are approximately 80 nucleotides in length. Their secondary structure includes four short double-helical elements and three loops (D, anti-codon, and T loops). Further hydrogen bonds mediate the characteristic L-shaped molecular structure. tRNAs have two regions of fundamental functional importance: the anti-codon, which is responsible for specific mRNA codon recognition, and the 3' end, to which the tRNAs corresponding amino acid is attached (by aminoacyl-tRNA synthetases). tRNAs cope with the degeneracy of the genetic code in two manners: having more than one tRNA (with a specific anti-codon) for a particular amino acid; and 'wobble' base-pairing, i.e. permitting non-standard base-pairing at the 3rd anti-codon position. The record is from RNAcentral. Lineage: Bacteria; Bacillati; Bacillota; Bacilli; Lactobacillales; Enterococcaceae.